ACCACAUUAAACAGAAGUAACUGCAGCUGCUUGCCAAUCAAUUCUGACUGUAAAGUACAUUACCAUUAAUAUAAAAGUGUAUUAUAUAAUUUUUAUAAGUCGUUAAACCCAUGUCAAGAAGCCGCACAAGUGGCACAACGGGAUAAGGAGGGUGGAUGAUUAGCGAGGGAUACCCGGUUCGUCUAACAUAUCGUGUGAACAUAUUACUGACCAUUUGAUCAUUUAAUUUAUAGUCUAUAUUUACUGAUAACUUAAACUAUGUUAAAAUAAAUGUUACUGUAAUAUUUUGAGAAAUGUUUCAUUUGCAUAGAACGUGUUGUCUUUCUUAACGCUGUAUUGCACCAUCGCGUGAAUUGGAAAAUCGAUUCAUGAGCAAUCGAUGCCAACUAAUUCAGCACCCUCACUUGGGACAGCGCUCUUGUUACGUCGGACGUAAGAGGCAGCGUGUUAAGAGCUUCCUAAGGGACACUUCGGGGAACACACUUAGGAACAUAAACAACUUUGGUUCUGCAACAUCAUCUGUUGGAGACCCAGUAUCUCUGGGAGGAAGUGUGGCUGCAGGUGUUUCCUGGCCAAUUAACCUUCUUUUAAGGUCCACCCUGGCUCUUUUCCUCAACGCUGAACUGGAAACAGGUGUCUUGCGUCUAUUCAUUUUUUUCAUUUAGGUAACUAUCUCAACUGUAAAUUUAAUAAUAAUAAUAAUAAAAAAAGUAAAAUCUGAGUAUUAUACCUUUGUCUCAACAGUUUGCAUCAUGUUUUCAGCAUCUGGAAAAAGAAAUGGAAAGUAUGUUGUAAGUUGUUGUCUUAAUUUUAUUUAUUAUGUGACUGGAAAAGUUGUCUGGUUUAUCAAAAAUAAAGAUUUGGUAACAAGUAUAACAUUUAUUUCUCUAUCCCUCUAUUGGUCUAUAUCUAUCUAUCUAUCUAUCUAUUGACGGCUGACUCAGGAGACUCACUUUUGUUUACAAGAAAAUGAAAGUAAAAUACCAAUAACAAAAUUGUAAUUGUAAGGUUGAAAUUGUAAUUGGGGUAGGCUACAGGAGAAGAAUAGUGUGACGGCUGGUGAAAGGACAGAGCCGAAGGUAAGUGUCCGUGGCUGAGUGAUCGUGCGGAGAGUGGAUGAGGUUCUGGGGAAACACAGACAUCCAACACAAACUACACAGAAGCCAGACAUUGGUAAACACAACGACAUGAAACAACGAUCUCACGAACACAAGACGUGAGACAAGCCUUUAUAUAGUGGAUGAGUAAUGAGUGGCAGCUGUUGCUGAUACAAUUAACGGUAUGCACUUAUCAGUGCAGACGCGGAACACACAGAAUUCACCACAAAGUGUAAACAACCCGAGAUCACGGUUUACCAACCAUGACAAAUAGUGGUUAUGGUCUUUGUUCAGUGUAAGGCAUAUAUAUUCAGAUGUAUUUCUAAAUUAUGUACUUCCUUUUCUUAAAUGAAUGCAUAUUUGAUUUCAGUAAUGAUACUUUGGCCAUGAAUAAAAAAAAAUUAUAAUCACAAUUACUUUAGUACUUUAGUCCAGGCAAAGUAGCAUUUUACAACAGACUAAUUGUAAAAAAAAAAUUUUUUCAGCAUAGAUCUUUUCUGUGAGGUGCCCAGAACAACAUACUAAAAGUCCUAAGAAAUCCUAGUUGAGAAAAUAUGUUAAUUUAUCAUCAAUCUGAAAUGUGUACCAAUAAGGCCAGGCAACAAUACACCCCAAUGGGGCUAUUUUUUUCCCUUUACUCCUAUCAAAAUGAAACUUUACACAAUUAAAGUACCCAUGAUAAGUUUUUUUUUUUUUUUUUUUGUAUUACAAGUUUCUUUUAAUUGUUAUAUGCAAAUGCAAAUAUUGGUUGUGUUGUUGCGGUCCUUAAUGGCACACAUUUCGGAUUAAUGAUAAAUUAACAU
This is a long non-coding RNA of Carassius auratus (goldfish), 1900 nucleotides long. NCBI's taxonomy places the organism in Eukaryota, Metazoa, Chordata, Actinopteri, Cypriniformes, Cyprinidae. The record is from Ensembl.